UGUGACUUGCAGAUGCCCAGAAAUGGU
This 27-nucleotide non-coding RNA is filed under the name Mus musculus (house mouse). Lineage: Eukaryota; Metazoa; Chordata; Mammalia; Rodentia; Muridae. The record is from RNAcentral.